CCCAUUUAUGUCAUGUGUGUUGGCACAACAGUUGUAAUUGCAUUAGCACCAAAGCAAGCUAGAAAAAAUAUCUGGCCAGAAUAAAAAUAUUUGUUCCAUUUAUUUCAGUGUGACAAUUGGCUUCCCACAGUUUUUGCAUUCUUUCUCCACCCUUACCUAAUCAAAGGGCUUAGAAUGUCUAAUCAUGACACGAAGGCAGAGAGAGAGAGAGAGAGAGAGAGAGAGAAUUUUGUUAUGCUCUUAACACCCACCUUUAUCUUAUUAUAGGUUAGGAACAAUGGAAGCACAUACCUCCAGAGCUGUUUGCUGGAAAAUAUCACAGGAAGCCACCUUCAAAGUGAAAAGGAUUUACUGCUUUGGGAGACUGUUGAUUCCCAUGGAAACCCAUCCAUUCAAGUACUGGAGCAGAGCAAAUGGGUCCCUAUUGCUGAAGCUCUCAGCAUGAGAAAUGGGAUCCUGACGAAAGCACUGGAGAACGACCUACAGUCUGGGGAAUGUAUGCAAGUAAGUAAGGAGGUUGUAAAUUAAGGAGAGUAUUUUUAGGAACUGCAGCAAANUAAGNAAUGGGUAUUGNAUGUUGUAGUGCUGCACAGNAUAGUGUGGUGNAAAUG
This 611-nucleotide long non-coding RNA is filed under the name Salvator merianae (Argentine black and white tegu). RNAcentral's name for it is "lncRNA (ENSSMRG00000016494.1)". Lineage: Eukaryota; Metazoa; Chordata; Lepidosauria; Squamata; Teiidae. The record is from RNAcentral.